This 118-nucleotide ribosomal RNA is filed under the name Pteropus alecto (black flying fox). The record is from RNAcentral. Lineage: Eukaryota; Metazoa; Chordata; Mammalia; Chiroptera; Pteropodidae.
GUCUACGGCAUGCCACCCUGAAUGUGCCCAAUCUUUUCUGAUUUCGGAAACUAAGAAGGGUCGGGCCUGGUUAGUAUUUGAAUGAAAGACCACCUCGGAAUACCAGAUGCUGUAGGCA